GCAGGGGUGGUUCAGUGGUGGAAUUCUCGCCUUCCGUGUGGGAGACCUGGGUUUGAUUCCUGGCCAAUGCA
RNAcentral lists this transfer RNA (71 nucleotides) under Loxodonta africana (African savanna elephant). It matches the Rfam family "tRNA". Rfam says of the family: Transfer RNA (tRNA) molecules are approximately 80 nucleotides in length. Their secondary structure includes four short double-helical elements and three loops (D, anti-codon, and T loops). The record is from Rfam by way of RNAcentral. Lineage: Eukaryota; Metazoa; Chordata; Mammalia; Proboscidea; Elephantidae.